AUAGCUUCAAUUAUCCUGUCAAAAAAAAGAAAGUACAGCAUUUAUGUUCUGUGAAAGGGCUUUGGUGGAGGUUUGAUGUUUUUUUUUUCACAGACAUUACCAAAUUGACAUUCAGACCUUCACAAAUGACAAACAGAAAGCCACACUGUUUUUAUUCUGAGCAUGAAGCACCAGAUUUCAGCAAAUAACCUUAGGAUCUAAUGAGGAGUUUAAACUGCUCUGUGCUAAGACCUCAUUCACUGAUCAUUUUCUGUGGAUUAUAUAUGCCUAUCCUAAUACUGGAGAAAUAUGCCUACAAAAUCUGGGACCCUAGACAAAAUGGUGUGCCACCAAUGCCAGUGUGUAACAUAAUCUAAAAUACUUUGUGGUUUUGUUUUAAAUUUGCGAGGCUUGAUCCAUUUAGGAAUGCCAAGGACUGUGGAUCAGUGAACUGGUGAUGUGUUCAUCCAGAUUGCUAAACUAGAAUGAAAAUGAAGAUGGAGUAGGUGGAAAUCAGCUAUUGCAUCAGAUAAUUCAUGCAAAUUGGCUCUUUAAGAACCAGCUGAAACCAGCCUUAUUUGCAUCCCGAACAGGGGCUUACCUAGAACUAUAUUCAAGAUUUCAUAGUAUUGCCACUGAAUACAGAUAGUAUUUUAUUCUUCGCCAUAGGGUAAACAUAGUACCAAAGUAAUAAUCUAGUAUGCCUUUAUGCUGAGCAUCACUGAAUUUUAUAUUUUCUUUUAAAUGUAACUCCCUCUAAACUGUGCCAUAACAAAAUGUCAGGGAGCAAAAUGAUAGGCAGGAUUGUCUUCUCAAAUACAAACAGCUGCCUUGAUAAAAGAAAGCACUGCUCUUCUGGAGGGUGAUUUCAGCACUCUCUUGAGUGUUUUAAAGUCCUGCAUGAGCAUGUGAGACUUGAGAUCAUUUUCAAAUUGAAACUUCUACGUAAGAUAGAAACAGAAGAUAAAUUUUCCCUGCAAUUAUUUGAUAACGGUAGUGCACAUUCUGUUGAAUAUCACAUCUCAAAAUAACCCUUUUCUUUAGGAAAAACUGUUCAAACUGUUGUCACUUGCUUAAUAUUGGAUGGAAUGGCAAUUAGUAUUUCCCUCUUUCCUUUGUUUGCUUUCACUAACUUUUUGUGUAAGGAAAAAGCCACUCACCAGUACCGUCUCUACCAACAGGUCUGACACCUAAGUGACCUUAGAGUGGAGACCUGAAAAUACUAGAUGCAACUUUUUUCUACUGCAGGUUUUCUAAUAAGGUACAGUCUAUAGGAAGAAUAAUGAUUUGUAAGUAAUAAUUUAGCUGUCACUUAAAGUUCUGUUUCCUUAACACAUUAAUAUAUAUAUACAUAUUUACUGUUUCUGAAAUCUGUUGACAUUGUUGUUAAGACAGGGGGCUGCUAGAGAGACAGAUUCUUCUGUAACUGCUGUAAUUAUGUUAACAGACUAUAAAACAACUUUCACAAAAGCUUCAUACACUAAAGUUUUGUUUUAACUUUGUUUUAUUCCUUUAUUCGCUUCAGUUAUAUACUAAAAAGUAGAGGCAAUAGUAAUAGUCAGUUGAUGUAUAUUCAUAAUGUAUGCUAUGAUUUCAGCCGCAGACCUUAUAAUGAUCUUAUUUGUGUUUCACAAAUACCAGUGAAAGCCCUGUAAGCAAGGAGCCAUUCUUAAUAAAGGGCUUAUAAAUUGCUUGUUCAUGUUAGCAACCUCUGAUGUAAGGUCCCACGAAUUUCAAAAAUAGCUUUCCCUUAAGAAUUAUGUGUUCUCUUAAACAGUGAGCCUUUGAAGACACUAGUGUUCUUGUGAAUAAUAAUAGUGAAUGGCAACUAGGUCAGAUCCCAAUUUGGUUUUAAAAAGAAAGUUCGGAUCAUAACGCCUUCUGAACAAGUCUUGUACAGAAUAUAUGAAAGUUAUUGUAUGAAUGUGAAUUAUCGUCACAUUGAAAAAUCGAGAGAAAAAUGUAAUUGGGUAAAUUCACUUCACUCAUUUUUUACAUACAUGGCUAGAAAAUACAUAAAACUUUCUUCAGUAAAAGGAGCCAAACAGAAAAGUUAUGCUAAUGAAUAAACUGAUGAAGGCUGGAAGUGCUUCUAAGUUGGCUGAAUCUUCCUGUAAUUAUUACAAGAAAUGUGGCUGGAAAUAAAUUUGCAGCUAAGAAUUCAAUAAUGUCAACCAACUUUGUUCCAUUCCUUAUGGAUUUCAACCAUCCUAAUGAAUCACCUAAGAGAGUAAGUGAUUUGGUGAGCACAACUAGAAACUUCUGACCUGUUGUGAGACCUAGAGUGCUACAUACUAUGUUUCCACUUUCAGAUCAUCUCCCUCUUCCUUAUAGUGACUUAUCUUUAUAACUAAGUUAUAUCCUUGUUAAUGGAGACAUAAUACCUAAUAAGAAAAUUAAAAUCCUUAAAAGAAUUUAUAUCAAGCUAAGGCCAAUUGAAAUUCACUAAGAAGACUAAUGUUACCAAAUUGUAAUCAAUUCUUAAAAUAUUGCUGCAUGUUCACAUGACAGACUGCCUGUUCCUGAAAUAAUAAGCUGCUUCAGCAUCUGUAUCUAACUAAGUGUAUAAUUAAAUCAUGAGCUUUAUUUGGUAAAAUGUAAUACCUGUUCUUGUUUAGUGUAUGUUUGUUUUAUCCAUUCAGUUUUAAAAUAGCUGAGAUCCAAAAAGGAGACAGGAAAUGAAAAACAAGCUCAUGAAGUAUUUAUUUGAUAACACCCCACAAAAUCUGAAUAACCAAAGAGAAUAUGAAGUUCUAAUUUUUAAUUAAUUAUAGGUUAUUUCUGCUCAAACUUACUGUUCAUUGGCCCAGACCUAAGUCACAUAAAAGAGAAUGAGAUUUUGUUGUUGUUUUUCAAGACAUUGCCUCUUGGUACUUAAUGAGUCUUUUGGCCAUAAACUGGCAGUCAGUGAAGCUUUUCUGAGCCUCACUUCCUCUGUAAUCCAGUCUGUGUUUAAUUUUCUGUUCCGUCUGAUAAUUUCCUUUUGGAAUAGGCAGUUUUAUGUACACUAAAUAAAAGUGCUUGCAAAAUAUUUUUCAAUCACUAACAAGACUCGUUUUGCUAUAUGAUUUAAUUUUUUUUUACUAUAAUAACAUCAUAAAGUGUUUAAGCUUGCUGUUAUGCCUUGGCCCAAUGUGCCAGUUUGUAUACUUUUAAUAUCCCCUUGUGAUUCAGUUGAAAUCUCCCCAAAAUAUUAAUUUGUGGCACUGUUACUGAUUGAGCUUGUAAUAAGUAGAACAUGAACAUCAACAAGACACGAGGAAAACGUGAAACAGUUAAAGACAGUCUAUGGCAGGAUUCAAGGCUGUCAGCACUGAUGUGUUAAAUUGUUGCUAAAUCCUAUUUCCGUGUCACCUGAAGAACGUCCAAGAAGUAGCCAGAAAGAUCAAACUCCUACUCAGGAAGAUUCGUCAUCAUUUCAGCAAAAAGCCUUUUUUAAUCCUUUUGAAAUCAACAGGAUUUCUGCCUGCCUACAAAGUGCAGAGCAAGGACCAUAGAACAGCCAGUUUUGCAGGCAUUUUCCCCUUCUGUCCCUGCUCUGGUAGCAGUAACUCUUAAUGCAUUAAAUGUUGGUUAGUGCCUGCAUCUUGUGGGGAGGUGUAAUGACCAGCAGUGGCUGGAGAAGAGGAAAAUGUGCUUCCCAGCUUCCAAGCAACAUCUGGAUAGGAACAUUCCAGCCCUGAGGUUCCUCAGCAUUUUUGUUACAUUCUUGGAACAUGGGAUUAGCACCCAGCCUUGGUGAGAUUGUUCAGGUGCCACUGUGGCCAGGGAGUGAUGCAUGUCCAUUCAUUGUGUUAUCUCAACUUUUCAAAAAUCUCUUAAAUUCACAAGGAGAAUCCACAUCUGGGUUUUUAAACUAAAUCUGGAGUUCUGUUUAUUACCUUCAGCCUGCUUUUAGAAUUUAGGGAAAAAAGGUGUUUAGAUUUUCUCCAAGAAAGAAUUUAUUAUUUUUAUGAACAGUUGUUGAGCAGGAACGUUUGGGUGUUCUGAAAUAAUAAUGAUUUUUGUGCCUCUAAAAUUCAAAUGUAACUUUUUAAGCUGAUGUUUUGCAGACAGAAAAAAAAGCUGACUGGCAUCUGUUGAGAAAUGUUUUUUAAAUUCUCUUGCCUAACAACACAGCAAUCAUAUACGAGUGACAACUGAGAGAUUAUUUCAAUGUCAAUUUAAUCAUAAGUGGAAAAGAGGCAACAGUCUCUUUUUAUGCUACCUAGCUACUCAUAUUAGUCUUAGAAAAAUAGUAGGUAGAACUGCACUGGCUCUGAGUCAAGCAGCUUCAAAUUACAUCCUGUCACAGGCUUAAACUCUCUUCAGAAGAUGAUGCUUCUGGUCAGUUUAUGGAUGGAUCUGUGAUCAGAGACUCUCAGAAUGCAACUGUUGGCAUAGUUCAGAAGAGAGCAAAGAUGACUUGAAAUUGCCAGAAGCAACAGAAGGGAGACAUGUGUCCCUCCUGUCUGCUCCUAAACUGUGCAGAUCUGAUGCAAAUCUUUAGUUCUGGUAAGUGAAACUUGCCAAGUUAGGCAAGAGAGAGAAAUCAUAGAAUGUGAGAAAAUUUUAAUAGCUCAUCCCUCAUCCUAAAUGUAGACCUGAGGAAGGCAAUCCCUCUUCAAAUGAGGGAAUUAUGUUGUCUCUGAGAUCUGUGAAAUUCAGAGAUAAGAUUCUUCAUCCCCUCUCUCUUUUAAAAGCCUUGGAGUUCUCCGUUGCCGCCCUCUAAAGGGUGUUAUUGUGAGGACCAAAAAACAGAUGUACGUUGUUCACCUUUUGACAGUCCUAUCAUAGUGAAAAGUCAUAACAACAUGAGGGUCUCCAAGAAGGAUAUGGGAAAAAUUUGGUGGACUCAAUUCCUCUUCUGGUGAAGAGGUGUUUGUAUAAUAGGGAGGGAAAAAAAAAGAUAAAAACACAGCUGGUAUUAAUUGGCAGCAGUAGUAACCCUCACUGCAAACAUCAUUAAAGAGGCUAAUUUUGUACAUUAUAGAAUUAGUCACUACCUUGCCCUUAGAAACAACGUCCAGGUAUGGGGGAGACACCCUGGCUGAGCUGUUUCCACUACAGCUGCCCUAAGCAGUUCUGUGGGCGGUUACCUCACUUUAGCCACAGAAAUGACUUGUGUGGCACCUUUCCAACCAUAAGUAACAUAACACUGAGAAAAGGACAGUUGUUUGCUUUUAUUGGUAAACCUAUGAAAGACUGAAAGUGUCAGCAAGAUUUUAGGGUCACUGAAUUUCCUGAGGUAAUGCUCAUCUGCUCUAAGUACUGAUGGAUACUGAUUUGAAUAGUCAGUUCUAUCCAAAAUCUCCCUUCUGUUGAAUUCUAGAUAAGCUCAUUCAAUUUUUAUUUCUAAAAGUUUUUGAAAUGUGUUUUUAAGGAUGUCAAGUCUUUGUACUGGUAACUACAGUGCUAUAUGUCAAAACCCAUCUCCAUAUUGCAAUGAUGUCACAAUUUCUCUUGGCAAUAAACAUUUUUGCAUAUUA
This is a long non-coding RNA of Tympanuchus pallidicinctus (lesser prairie-chicken), 5447 nucleotides long. RefSeq lists it as uncharacterized. Lineage: Eukaryota; Metazoa; Chordata; Aves; Galliformes; Phasianidae. The transcript has 2 exons. The record is from RefSeq and is a predicted model, not a curated record.